AACUACAAAGGAAUUGACGGGGGCCCGCACAAGCGGUGGAGCAUGUGGUUUAAUCGAGGCAACGCGAAGAACCUUACCUGGGCUUGACAUCCCGUGUUACCCCUGGAAACAGGGGGUCCUCUUCGGAGGCACGGUGACAGGUGUUGCAUGGCUGUCGUCAGCUCGUGUCGUGAGAUGUUGGGUUAAGUCCCGCAACGAGCGCAACCCUUAUUCUUAGUUACCAGCGGUUCGGCCGGGAACUCUAGGAAGACUGCCCGUGAUAAGCGGGAGGAAGGUGGGGACGACGUCAAGUCAUCAUGGCCCUUACGUCCAGGGCUACACACGUGCUACAAUGGCCGGUACAGUGGGUUGCGAAGCCGCAAGGUGAAGCUAAUCCCAAAAAGCCGGUCUCAGUUGGGAUUUGAGUCUGCAACUCGACUCCAUGAACCUGGAAUCGCUAGUAAUCGCGUAUCAGCUACGACGCGGUGAAUACGUUCCCGGGCCUU
Molecule: ribosomal RNA, 485 nt
Filed under: uncultured Candidatus Sumerlaeota bacterium
Lineage: Bacteria; Candidatus Sumerlaeota
Description: bacterial SSU rRNA
Rfam family: Bacterial small subunit ribosomal RNA
Source: RNAcentral